GACGAACGUUGGCGGCGUGCUUAAUACAUGCCAGUCAACUGAAGCAGUGGUAGCAAUAUCGCUGUGGAGGUGGCGCACGGGUGAGUAACACGUAGGUAAUCUGCCUUCAGGUCUGGCAUAACUCCGGGAAACCGGGGCUAAUAGCAGAUGAUGCAGCGGCUCGACAUCGAGACAGUUGUUAAAGCUAUGGCGCCUGAAGAUGAGCCUGCGUCUGAUUAGCUAGUUGGCGGGGUAACGGCCCACCAAGGCAACGAUCAGUAGCUGGUCUGAGAGGAUGAUCAGCCACACUGGAACUGAGACACGGUCCAGACUCCUACGGGAGGCAGCAGUAAGGAAUAUUGCUCAAUGGGAGAAUUCCUGAAGCAGCAACGCCGCGUGAGGGACGAAGGGCUUUUGCUUGUAAACCUCUGUAGUGAGAGAAAAAAAUCCCAAUCUUUGGGACAUGAUGGUAUCUCAAAAGUAAGCCCCGGCUAACUACGUG
Molecule: ribosomal RNA, 481 nt
Filed under: uncultured bacterium
Lineage: Bacteria
Description: partial 16S ribosomal RNA
Rfam family: Bacterial small subunit ribosomal RNA
Source: RNAcentral